Molecule: long non-coding RNA, 211 nt
Filed under: Capsicum annuum
Lineage: Eukaryota; Viridiplantae; Streptophyta; Magnoliopsida; Solanales; Solanaceae
Description: long non-coding RNA (CANN_LNC014720)
Source: RNAcentral
UCCACUUCUGUUUACCUCAGCUUGGGAUGGGGGAUCUUGAGAUGAGGAACCCACAUCAGAAAAUUGCAAACUCCGGGGAAAUUAUGAGUCCUCCAGCCUUCUAGUAAUCCUUUUCCCUGCUGGAUCAUGUUUUUCAAUUCUCACCUCCAGUAGCUCAAUUUCCCCACGUAUUGGUUGAAAUGAGCCUAGUAGAAAGUUGACUAUCAUGACU